AGCCCCAUGAAAGUGUGAAACACUCAAUAGAGAAUAUAAAACAUUUGCCUAAUCUUAAGUGGUAACUGAGCCAAAAUACCGGAAGGAAAAAUGCACUUCAGCACCUGGCUUGCAAAUAUUGGACUCCAUCUGCAGUUUAACUUUAACUGAGCGAUUAAUGUGAAAUUUAGAAUUGGAUCCUCAGAUCUUGUUUCCAUCCCUUUCUUUUGGGGCUUUAACCCCGGAUGCUUUAUUUUCAAGGGCUCAGGGACCACAGCCAAGUCAAGCAGCCGAUUCCAGCUCCUUGGCCCCGACAACGUCUAGUAAAAAGGCAACUCCUCAAUUCUUUCUUAACUUUUAUUAAGAAUCAAAUGAGUGGUGGGAAUUGUGCUAGGCCCCCAGGAUCCGACGGAACCCGAUGCAGUCCCUGACCUCCAGGGACUCACGGGUUAGUGGAUCAAACACAGGAUGACGAGACGAAUACUGCAGACAGGAACACUAACCGGUCCCAAAGGAAGUGCCGUCUAACCAAACCAAGGUAAGGGCUAUUACGUGGCCACCCUA
Ceratotherium simum simum (southern white rhinoceros) is the source of this 543-nucleotide non-coding RNA. NCBI's taxonomy places the organism in Eukaryota, Metazoa, Chordata, Mammalia, Perissodactyla, Rhinocerotidae. The record is from RefSeq and is a predicted model, not a curated record.